AAGAGACACAAACUGUUAUGUAUCAAAUAGAUAAACAACAAGGACAUAUUGAACACCACAGGGAAUGAUAGCAUUAUCUUUGUGAUAACUUUGAAUGGAGUAUAAUCUGUAAAAUACAUAAUCAUUGUGCUGUACACCUAAAACUAAUAUGAUAUUAUAAAUCAACUAUACUUAAGUAAAAAUCUGCUCAAUGGCAAAAAAUUGAAUAACAAAAUUUUUGGUUUCAGAGCUAUUAGAAAAUUUCUUUUGCAGGGUAGUCUCUCUAUAAUAGUUCUAUGUAAAAAAAGACACACACACAUAUGAAUAUAGUUCUCUAUGUGUAUAUAUAAAACAAUAUAAAUUAUAAUACUCUGUAAUGCAAAUAAAAAUAUGACCAGUUUAUUAUGAACUACUCUAAUAGCAAGGAGUGAUCUAAUGAUCUCUACGCUAAAUGUGCUCCCAUAUACUAUUUUGUCAGUAGGUUUGUUAUUGUUACUAUAUACACGACUCUUAUUUUUUAAGUAUUUAUUGAAUGUAACUCAAGGGAUUUUAUUUAUUUUUUUUGAAGACUAAGAGUUUUCGUGCAGGAUCUUUAUACACGUCCAAGGUCAGGAGCGGCGGCCGUGAGGAGAUACCCCAUGUCCAAGAAAAGAAGAUUUUGGCAAUAUUGGGCUGGAACAUCAUGGUGUAUGCAAAUUCUCCUGGCAAGGUUUCAAGCUGCAGACUGCCCAGCCCUCACUUUAUCAUCGUCUAGUCUGUUCAACACAAACAGUGAAGGUGUGACUUUCCGAUUUACAGAUGACCCCAGACUGAGAGACACGAAGAUAAAGACGGAGGGAAGGAGAAUGAGAGUGCACAUGGUAAUGCUGUUGGAAAGCCGAAUGAGGACUAAGAAUUAUCACAACUAUUUUCUGAGUUAAAUAUAAAGGCUUGAGUGGAAGUUUGAAAAGGAAGUGUACAUUAGAAGGAUGUAGGAAAUUUACAUAGAAGAGCAUCACGGUAGAAUGAAUGAGGGGUUUUGUUGGCAGCAAAUUCAAUAAACCAGCAAUAAAACGAGGGGAUCCA
RNAcentral lists this long non-coding RNA (1044 nucleotides) under Bos indicus x Bos taurus (hybrid cattle). RNAcentral's name for it is "lncRNA (ENSBIXG00000018516.1)". The record is from RNAcentral. Lineage: Eukaryota; Metazoa; Chordata; Mammalia; Artiodactyla; Bovidae.